Molecule: ribosomal RNA, 447 nt
Filed under: uncultured bacterium
Lineage: Bacteria
Description: partial 16S ribosomal RNA
Rfam family: Bacterial small subunit ribosomal RNA
Source: RNAcentral
GACGAACGCUGGCGGCAGGCUUAACACAUGCAAGUCGAGCGCCCCGCAAGGGGAGCGGCAGACGGGUGAGUAACGCGUGGGAACGUGCCCUUUGCUACGGAAUAGCUCCGGGAAGCUGGAAUUAAUACCGUAUGAGCCCUACGGGGGAAAGAUUUAUCGGCAAAGGAUCGGCCCGCGUUGGAUUAGCUAGUUGGUGGGGUAAAGGCCUACCAAGGCGACGAUCCAUAGCUGGUCUGAGAGGAUGAUCAGCCACAUUGGGACUGAGACACGGCCCAAACUCCUACGGGAGGCAGCAGUGGGGAAUAUUGGACAAUGGGCGCAAGCCUGAUCCAGCCAUGCCGCGUGAGUGAUGAAGGCCUUAGGGUUGUAAAGCUCUUUCACCGGAGAAGAUAAUGACGGUAUCCGGAGAAGAAGCCCCGGCUAACUUCGUGCCAGCAGCCGCCGUAA